This 500-nucleotide ribosomal RNA is filed under the name uncultured Acidobacteriota bacterium. RNAcentral's name for it is "bacterial SSU rRNA". It matches the Rfam family "Bacterial small subunit ribosomal RNA", at positions 13 to 529 of the family's 1533-position model. The record is from RNAcentral. Lineage: Bacteria; Pseudomonadati; Acidobacteriota.
UUGAUCCUGGCUCAGAAUCAACGCUGGCGGCGUGCCUAACACAUGCAAGUCGAACGAGAAAGUGGAGCAAUCCAUGAGUAAAGUGGCGACCGGGUGAGUUACACGUGACCAAUCUACCCUUGAGUGGGGGAUAACCUCGGGAAACCGGGUCUAAUACCGCAUAACAUCCUUGGAACGGAAGUACUGGGGAUCAAAGGAGUAAUUCGCUUAAGGAGGAGGUCGCGGCUGAUUAGCUAGUUGGCGGGGUAAUGGCCCACCAAGGCAAAGAUCGGUAGCCGGCCUGAGAGGGCGCACGGCCAUACUGGAACUGAAACACGGUCCAGACUCCUACGGGAGGCAGCAGUGGGGAUUUUUGCGCAAUGGGGGAAACCCUGACGCAGCAACGCCGCGUGGAGGAUGUAGUCCCUUGGGACGUAAACUCCUUUCGACCCGGACGAUAAUGACGGUACUGGUGGAAGAAGCCCCGGCUAACUUCGUGCCAGCAGCCGCGGUAAUAAGGU